GACGGCGUAGCUCAGUUGGAAGAGCAUUGGGCUAGUAUUCCAAAGGUCGUAGGUUCGAAUCCCGCCGUGGCCA
This 73-nucleotide transfer RNA is filed under the name Paramuricea clavata. It matches the Rfam family "tRNA". From Rfam's summary of the family: Transfer RNA (tRNA) molecules are approximately 80 nucleotides in length. Their secondary structure includes four short double-helical elements and three loops (D, anti-codon, and T loops). The record is from Rfam by way of RNAcentral. Lineage: Eukaryota; Metazoa; Cnidaria; Anthozoa; Malacalcyonacea; Plexauridae.